RNAcentral lists this small RNA (27 nucleotides) under Bombyx mori (domestic silkworm). RNAcentral describes it as "ovarian small RNA-36151". Lineage: Eukaryota; Metazoa; Arthropoda; Insecta; Lepidoptera; Bombycidae. The record is from RNAcentral.
UGUUGAGAAAGGAGGGGCGCCCGGCGG